UGCCAGACUCCUACGGGAGGCAGCAGUGGGGAAUAUUGCACAAUGGGGGAAACCCUGAUGCAGCGACGCCGCGUGGGUGAGGAAGUAUUUCGGUAUGUAAAGCUCUAUCAGCAGGGAAGAAAAUGACGGUACCUGACUAAGAAGCCCCGGCUAACUACGUGCCAGCAGCCGCGGUAAUACGUAGGGGGCAAGCGUUAUCCGGAUUUACUGGGUGUAAAGGGAGCGUAGACGGCAGUGCAAGUCCGGAGUGAAAGCCCGGGGCUCAACCCUGGGACUGCUCUGGAAACUGUAAAGCUGGAGUGCGGGAGGGGCAGGCGGAAUUCCAGGUGUAGGAGUGAAAUCCGUAGAUAUCUGGAGGAACAUCAGUGGCGAAGGCGACUAUCUGGCACAUAACUGACGCUGAGGAGCGAAAGCGUGGGUAGCAAACAGGAUUAGAUACCCUGGUAA
RNAcentral lists this ribosomal RNA (447 nucleotides) under uncultured bacterium. RNAcentral describes it as "bacterial SSU rRNA". It matches the Rfam family "Bacterial small subunit ribosomal RNA", at positions 329 to 793 of the family's 1533-position model. The record is from RNAcentral.